Molecule: long non-coding RNA, 2319 nt
Organism: Gossypium arboreum
Lineage: Eukaryota; Viridiplantae; Streptophyta; Magnoliopsida; Malvales; Malvaceae
Exons: 2
Source: RefSeq, a predicted model, not a curated record
CUGCAUAAACUGCAAACAGGAAAGAAGAUUUUAGAUAGUUUGGUUUCCAUUUUAAAGGAGGCAUAUGAGAGAGAAAAAAAGAAAAAGCAAAAGUAAAAUCUAACUUGAAAACUAUCUUCGACGUCGGAGUUUCGAGUGUGUUGUAAUUCUCAAGCAAAACGCAACAAGGUAUCAGAGUUGACGAUCUGCGAUGUCUGGCAACGAUGUUUCUACUCGGCUUCAAAAGGAUGUGGGGGGUCUGCAGCAGGCGGUGGCAAAGCUGUAGAAGGACGUUUCACAGUGGAGUGCAAAAUUGAAGGAUGGUUUGAAGGAAUUAAGGAUAGAGUUCAAAGGGGAACUUAAGCUGGAGUUGUGGGGCUUGAAAGAUAGGUUACGGGGGCAGAUCAAGUCUGAAAUGCAGAGUUUGUUGGAAUUGUAUUUGGGUCGACCAUUUGCUUCCGUUGUUGGUGGAUAGUCAUCUGUUCCCGUUCCUGCUGGAUAGUUGAGUGAUAAAGGGAAGGGGAUUUUAGGCGUGCUACCAACCGGGUUCUCGCCUAGGGAACCGUCUUUUAAUUCGCCUUCAAAGGACACUCCUUCCUUUUUGCCCAAUGUUGAUGUCAGUUUGAGGUCUCAUGUCAAUGAACAUUUCCCUAAGUCACACAAGUUGGAAUGUCCACGUUUUGACGGGUCCGAUUUUAAGGGUUGGUGGGCUAAACUUGAACAAUAUUUUCAGGCUGAGGGGAUCCCUUCCAAUGUUAGGGUCCGAAUGGUAAUGUUACACUUAAAGAGCAAGGCUCUCGACUGGCACCAGUUUUAUACAUAGAGGCAAGAAGGCUUCCACAUGUUGGUUUUAGGGAUAUAUGACCAGAGCCUGUGGGAGCACUUUGCAUUGAGUUAUUUUUAAGACCCCAUGUCUGACUUGUGUCAUUGAAGCAACAUGGGUCGGUGGACUAAUAUCAUGAAACUUUUGUUAGCUUGUUGAAUCAAUUGCAGCUACCCAAACCAUAUGACUUGAGCAUAUUUACCAACAACUUGAAAACUAAAAUCGGGCAAUACCUAUAGUUGUUUAAGCUGAAAACUUUGGUGGAAGGAUUUCAAGUAGCACAUCAAGUGGAGGGUAUAUUACAAAAAUCUCCUAGGAGGUUGUUCUUGACGGGGGUCCUACAACUUCAAAAUCCUCGACUUAUACAACUGUCGUUUCUCAGACUUUAAAGCCAUAAACUACCUCCACGGGGAACUCAUAGUAGUAGUAACUCUACUGGCCCGAGUGUAACUCACAAAUCAGUCAUGGCAAUAGGUUCAUCCAUGAAGUUUAAAAGAACAUUAACAAUCAUAAAGAUUGAUCAUAGGAGGAUGAAGGGAUUGUGCUUUUGGUGUGGUUCCAAAUAUAGUGUGGGCUAUAAAUGUGUUAGGUUUUAGCUAUAUUAGUUUUUAUUGGAAUCAAAAUUGGAUAGGGAAAGGGAGGAGUCCCACGAGGAUUUUGAUCAAUCGGAGGGUUCUCUAACCAAAAUGAUGGUUCAAGAUCUUAUACUUUCACUCCAUGCUAUCCAAUGGUCCCAAGGUAACCAUACGAUGAAGGUGGCAGCAUCUGUGGGAACUGCUCAUGUUUUAUUUUAGUUUACUUAGGAAGUACGCACAAUUUCAUAAGUGCAAGGUUGGUGAGAUAGCUUGCCAUAUCCUUCAGUAAAGAACAUAAAUUGAAGGUCAUGGUGGCUAAUAGGGGUAAUGUGUUCACCCAAAGGCUGAGUUUUUCAAUAGAAUUUUUUGUUCUACCAGUUAAGGGGUGUAAUAUGGUUUUGGGAGUGCAGUGGCUCCUAUCAUUGGGAAGCAUUCCUUAGGACUUCAAGGCUUUGACCAUGCAGUUAAACUAUAAAGAAAACAUAUGCUUGUUACGGGGCAUUCAGUCAGGGGCUAUACAAGUCUUGUGGGAUCGUGAGGUUGCUAGAAGUUUUUCCAUCACGGGGAAUUCUUGGGGCCCUAUACACUCUAAGUGGCUACUGCUGAUCAUGCGUCACUACAAUUGUCACCUAAACCAAUCUCUAAGGAUUUGCUUAAUCUCUUAGAGGCGUUCCAUAAGGUGUUUCAAACACCAACUGGGUUACCCCCAUCAUGCUUACAAGAUCAUUGCAUUCCACUCAAGGAUGAAUCAGCGUUAGUUAAGAUGAAACCUUAUUGCUACCCUUAACAGUUCGCCCGGUUAAUCCUCCGGGGCUCAAAUAACUCAAUUUUCUCCCAUGCACUAUUUGUGUCAAUGGAUUUGUUCGAUCCAAAACUUGAGGGAAUGGGUGUAAUUCGAAAAAGGAUUCAUAAGUGGUUGUUAAUGGAUUCGAAGUUACCAAA